This 27-nucleotide small RNA is filed under the name Bombyx mori (domestic silkworm). RNAcentral describes it as "ovarian small RNA-31771". The record is from RNAcentral. Lineage: Eukaryota; Metazoa; Arthropoda; Insecta; Lepidoptera; Bombycidae.
UGACGGUAAUCCAACCUUCUUGGCGUU